AACGAACGCUGGCGGCAGGCCUAAAACAUGCAAGUCGAACGCGCCGCAAGGGGAGUGGCGCACGGGUGAGUAACGCGUGGGAACGUGCCCUUCACUACGGGACAACGUCGGGAAACUGACGCUAAUACCGUAUAAUGACUCCGGUCCAAAGAUUUAUCGGUGAAGGAGCGGCCCGCGUCUGAUUAGUUUGUUGGUGGGGUAAUGGCCUACCAAGACUACGAUCAGUAGCAGGUCUGAGAGGAUGAUCUGCCACACUGGGACUGAGACACGGCCCAGACUCCUACGGGAGGCAGCAGUUAGGAAUAUUGGACAAUGGGCGAAAGCCUGAUCCAGCCAUGCCGCGUGUGUGAUGAAGGCCUUAGGGUUGUAAAGCACUUUCGUUGGGGAUGAUAAUGACCGUACCCAAAGAAGAAGCACCGGCUAACUUCGUGCCAGCCGCCGCCGUAA
Molecule: ribosomal RNA, 447 nt
Filed under: uncultured bacterium
Lineage: Bacteria
Description: partial 16S ribosomal RNA
Rfam family: Bacterial small subunit ribosomal RNA
Source: RNAcentral